RNAcentral lists this ribosomal RNA (647 nucleotides) under Planococcus glaciei CHR43. RNAcentral describes it as "bacterial LSU rRNA". It matches the Rfam family "Bacterial large subunit ribosomal RNA", at positions 2279 to 2925 of the family's 2925-position model. Lineage: Bacteria; Bacillati; Bacillota; Bacilli; Caryophanales; Caryophanaceae. The record is from RNAcentral.
GCGGUCGCCUCCUAAAGAGUAACGGAGGCGCCCAAAGGUUCCCUCAGAAUGGUUGGAAAUCAUUCGCAGAGUGUAAAGGCACAAGGGAGCUUGACUGCGAGACGUACAGGUCGAGCAGGGUCGAAAGACGGGCUUAGUGAUCCGGUGGUUCCGCAUGGAAGGGCCAUCGCUCAACGGAUAAAAGCUACCCCGGGGAUAACAGGCUUAUCUCCCCCAAGAGUCCACAUCGACGGGGAGGUUUGGCACCUCGAUGUCGGCUCAUCGCAUCCUGGGGCUGUAGUCGGUCCCAAGGGUUGGGCUGUUCGCCCAUUAAAGCGGUACGCGAGCUGGGUUCAGAACGUCGUGAGACAGUUCGGUCCCUAUCCGUCGCGGGCGCAGGAAAUUUGAGAGGAGCUGUCCUUAGUACGAGAGGACCGGGAUGGACACACCGCUGGUGUACCAGUUGUUCCGCCAGGGGCAUCGCUGGGUAGCUAUGUGUGGCCGGGAUAAGUGCUGAAAGCAUCUAAGCACGAAGCCCCCCUCAAGAUGAGAUUUCCCAUUGCGCAAGCAAGUAAGAUCCCUCAAAGACGAUGAGGUAGAUAGGUUCGGGGUGGAAGCGUGGCGACACGUGCAGCUGACGAAUACUAAUCGAUCGAGGACUUAACCAA